GAUGAAGAACGCAGCGAAAUGCGAUACUUGGUGUGAAUUGCAGAAUCCCGUGAACCAUCGAGUCUUUGAACGCAAGUUGCGCCCGAAGCCAUCAGGUUGAGGGCACGUCUGCCUGGGCGUCACAUAUCGUUGCCCAAUGCCUAUUGCAGUGCAAUAGGAAUUUCUAGGGCGAAUGAUGGCUUCCCGUGAGCGUUGUUGCCUCGCGGUUGGUUGAAAAUCGAGUCCUUGGUAGGGUGUGCCAUGGUAGAUGGUGGUCGAGUUAGAACGAUACCGAUCAUGUGCAUGCUCCCCAAAAUAUGGCCUCUAUGACCCACACGCGUCUUUCGACGCUCAUGACGAGACCUCAGGUCAGGCGGGGCUACCCGCUGAAUUUAAGCAUAUCAAUAAGCGGAGGA
Molecule: unclassified non-coding RNA, 395 nt
Filed under: soil metagenome
Description: partial contains 5.8S ribosomal RNA, internal transcribed spacer 2, and large subunit ribosomal RNA
Rfam family: 5.8S ribosomal RNA (bases 1-122)
Source: RNAcentral